CCUACGGGAGGCAGCAGUGAGGAAUAUUGGUCAAUGGGCGCGAGCCUGACCCAGCAACGCCGCGUGAAGGAAGAAGGCUUUCGGGUUGUAAACUUCUUUUCUGAGGGACGAAGGAAGUGACGGUACCUCAGGAAUAAGCCACGGCUAACUACGGGCCAGCAGCCGCGGUAAUACGUAGGUGGCAAGCGUUAUCCGGAUUUAUUGGGUGUAAAGGGCGUGUAGGCGGGAAAGCAAGUCAGAUGUGAAAACUCAGGGCUCAACCCUGAGCCUGCAUUUGAAACUGUUUUUCUUGAGUGCUGGAGAGGCGAUCGGAAUUCCGUGUGUAGCGGUGAAAUGCGUAGAUAUACGGAGGAACACCAGUGGCGAAGGCGGAUUGCUGGACAGUAACUGACGCUGAGGCGCGAAAGCGUGGGGAGCAAACAGGAUUAGAUACCCCAGUAGUC
This 443-nucleotide ribosomal RNA is filed under the name uncultured bacterium. RNAcentral's name for it is "partial 16S ribosomal RNA". It matches the Rfam family "Bacterial small subunit ribosomal RNA", at positions 338 to 795 of the family's 1533-position model. The record is from RNAcentral.